Molecule: ribosomal RNA, 303 nt
Filed under: uncultured bacterium
Lineage: Bacteria
Description: partial 16S ribosomal RNA
Rfam family: Bacterial small subunit ribosomal RNA
Source: RNAcentral
AGCAGCAGCCCGGGAAUACGUAGGGUGCGAGCGUUAAUCGGAAUUACUGGGCGUAAAGCGUGCGCAGGCGGUUCGUUAAGACAGAUGUGAAAUCCCCGGGCUUAACCUGGGAACUGCAUUUGUGACUGGCGAGCUAGAGUAUGGCAGAGGGGAGUAGAAUUCCACGUGUAGCAGUGAAAUGCGUAGAUAUCGGAAGGAACACCUGUGGCGAAAGCGGCUCACUGGACCAUUUCUGACGCUGAUGCACGAAAGCUAGGGGAGCAAACAGGAUUAGAUACCCGAGUAGUCCCUGUCUCUUAUACC